This 253-nucleotide ribosomal RNA is filed under the name uncultured bacterium. RNAcentral's name for it is "partial 16S ribosomal RNA". It matches the Rfam family "Bacterial small subunit ribosomal RNA", at positions 524 to 776 of the family's 1533-position model. The record is from RNAcentral.
GACAGAGGUGCCGAGCGUUAGGCGGAAUCACUGGGCUUAAAGCGUGUGUAGGCGGGGCCGGAAGUACCUUGUGAAAUCCCACGGCUCAACCGUGGAACUGCUUGGUAUACUGCGGGUCUUGAGCCACUUAGGGGCAAGCGGAACAAACGGUGGAGCGGUGAAAUGCGUAGAUAUCGUUUGGAACGCCAAUGGUGAAAACAGCUUGCUGGGAGUGUGCUGACGCUGAGACACGAAAGCCAGGGGAGCAAACGGG